Long non-coding RNA from Thunnus maccoyii (southern bluefin tuna), 12799 nucleotides. RefSeq lists it as uncharacterized. Lineage: Eukaryota; Metazoa; Chordata; Actinopteri; Scombriformes; Scombridae. The record is from RefSeq and is a predicted model, not a curated record. The transcript has 5 exons.
GGUAACGUAACCAUGGCGUGACCCCAGAUUCACAAGGUGGUGUAAUCGUAGCCGUCACUAUUUCAGUGUGUUUUCAGUUCAGUGUUUGGUUGUACUAAAAGAUCCUCUAAGGUGUCGGGUGUUCAGUUUUUCUAAUGCACUUUUAAAACAUCUACAGUCACCAUCUGUCACAACUGGUAAAGGCCCAAAUAUUUCUCCAGAACCACUUCAAGAAACAUCUCAACAGUUGGCUAUAUCUUCUUUUGAUGAUGAGAGCACAACACUGACCACAGAUUUCACAUCGUCACUUUUCUCAGAGGGACGGGGGGCUGGAGUGAAGCUCGCCUAGGGCACCGAAUGGGGAUUCAAAUAAUCUUUCCCUUUUAAGUUCAUAUAAACCACUGAGAAUAACCAACCUUGCACAGCAGCACAGCAGAGCACCCUGUGCCAAGCUGAACACAUCCUAUUUGAAGAAGAUGACAACUAAGAGGCUCCACGUGAUGGAACUGACACAUCCAGAGUGUGCUGGCUGUGAUGUCCCUGUACUGAAGCUUGAAUUUUUGCCACACUAUCAGUGUAAGACUGCUUUUGAAGUGAGUUGAAAGAACUUAAAUCCAAUGAUGACUGGGUGCAGUUCCUCAUCUGUGACCAGACUAUGUGUGAGUGUGGGUACACGGCAAACCCAAUGAGGAUGCUAAUAUUUCACUUUUCCUCCAAAACAGCCUUCAGACAGAUGAUUAUGGUUAAAUCAUACUUACAUAAGUUUAUAAAAUUAUUAUUAUAAAAUACAAGAAAUGGUUGUCUAAAAAUGUAUUCUCAUUCACCACCUCAGAUUAGUUGAUAUUUUUGUGUAACUUCAGCUUGGUCUGCAAUUGUCAAUUGGAGAUCCAAUGUAUCAAAUGCAGAUCUGACAACCAGAACUUUUCUCUUCUACAAGGAAAGAUCACGUUUCCUGUGCUGAAGCAUCUGAGUGAGAGGAUAAAUGUGAUUUUAGAAAAUUCUGUAUGUGCUUUUAAAUACAAAGGUGUAUUUGGAGUGCUCUGUCCCUGGAAAUGUGUCCUUGUUUAGUGACAGCAGAACCCAUGAGGGGAGGGAAGUAUUAUGACACAUCACUUUCCGAGCAGGAGAGACAAAGGGGCACAUGUGCAUGAUUUAUGUGUUGGAAUAAUAGCAAUCUCCAACCUGUUGGCCCAUCGUUGAGCACAGAUGAAACAAGAUGGCACUGUCAAGAUCAGAGUGAACAAAAGGGCAAUAACUGUCUUGAGAACAAAUAAAAGCUAAUCAUGGACUUAUUAGACUUCUCAUGAGGAAAUGAAAGCUCUUCAUCAAAUCACAUCAUUUCAUCUGUUUUUAUGUUGUUGUUGUUGUUGUUGUUCACUCUAUAUUCAGGUCAAGUCAAUUUUUAUUUGUAUAGCCCAGUACCAGAAAUCACAAAUUUGCCUCAUUGGGCUUUACAAUCAGUACAGCAAUACAACAUUCUCUAUCCACAGACCCUCGAUUCAAAUAAAACUCCCUAAAAAAACUGGGGAAAAAUGGAGGAAACCUCAGGAAGAAUAACAAAGGAGGGAUCCCUCUCCUGGGAUGGACAGACUUGCAAUCAGUGUUGUGUGCACAGAAUAGACCAAUAAAGCAAAAUUACAGAAAUACAGCAUGAACAAACAUUAUGAAAAAAUAAUAGAUGGAUUGAUAAUAUAUAUAAAGAAUCUGGUCAGGAGAAUGUUGAGAAACUUCCAGGUGCUGCCAAAAACAGAUUCAUCAUCAUUUAGGCAGUUGAUCAUUUUUCACAAUCAGAGCGACUUUGAGCUUGUACAAACACAACAAACUUUCAUCUUACAACUGUGACCUCUUUUUGCGACCUCUAUCUUUGUAAAAGAGUUCACAAAUAUUAACUGGACUGUCUUUGACAGUAGGAAGGCCAAACAGUAUGUGUUUCAUAUUUAAACAGGCUGGUUUCAGCAAACAAGGCUUGUUAUUGGGGUUAUAAACCAUUGAAUUAUGAAACUUGGGAAAAUGACUCAUGCCAAAUGUAAUUUUCUUUAAUUGAGUAUCUUUAACAACAGCACCAUCAUUCAAAGCUUAUUUUAAAUAACUCAGAUGAUACCUUUACUCAUUUAAAUGAAUCAUGUGCUUCCUGCUAUUUAGAGAAUUGUUUGAGCUUUAUAUCCUGUUGUCUUGUGUGGAGAUGUCUGUUCCUUUUUUAUUAUGCUUUUACGGAUACAAGCUUAAUGAAUACCAUUCAGAGGGCCUAUCGCUGAUCUGCAGCUACUCAGGAAUAUAUAUGAGGCUGAUUUGUAUGUAUUUGAAAGUCCUUUAGCUUUUUGAUUGCAGUUUUGUGCUUAGGAGGUGUUUGUUCAGCCUCUUCUUGAAGACAUGAACACUACUUGAUGUGAUGGCUCUGACGACAGCAGGGGGAAGGCUGUUCCAUGUUGUUACAGAGUGCAGAGUGGAAAAAGCUCCUGUCAAGCUCCGGGGAGUGACAUGGCAUGGCUUGGUGGUAACCUCUGGGUGGUUUGUGCUGAGACAUGAGCUGAGGGUAGCAGUGCUUUCAGGUCUGCUGGACAGUUGGAAGUGUGCAUCUUGAAAAGAACAAGCAGCAACUGUUCUGUGGUGGUUCAGCUUGGUGAUGGUGUAAUCCUUUAGGUCAUAGACCUCAUCUUUAUUGCCUUUUCCUGGAUGAUUUCUAGUAACCUAAGAGUGCUGUGUGAGGCAUUCAUCUAGGCAAGGCAGGAGUAUACCAUGAUGCUCCUGACCUGGGUUUUGCAGACGUUGGCUCUGCUUCUAGGAUCAAGCUUGUUGGCCAACUUCUGCAAUGCUUCGAGACAUUGUCCAGCACAUUUGCAGAUGUAAGACUGAUGGCUGGCCCGCUGGAGUUUUUGGUCAAUGCAUAGUCCUAGAAUUUCCAUUUGCUCACUGAACUUGAUUUUAGUGCCAGGGCCCUUGUGGUUGCUGGGGUGUCUGAUAGAAUUAGAAUUAUGAUAUUGUCUCCUCUGGUUUGUUUGCUGACAAUCUGAUCUAGUCCUAGGCAGUUGGCAAGUUGCAGGGCAUGUCGUCCAGCAGCGUCCAAGCCACUCUUCAUGAUGUACACUAAACUCACUAAUGAGCAUUACAGACUGAGCGCCAAACUUGUCCACUGAGAAGGUAUGAGUGUCAAGAUAGUCCAAGACUUCAUUGGAGGCACUUGGAGGAUGGUAUACAGGUCCUAUCAGCAGCUUCCUGGUCUUCAGAGCAACAGUGAACCACAUGAGCUCGACGUCUUCAGGGUCUUUGGAUGGAUUGUGGUAGAUGGAUUGUCUAGACAGUAGACUGCUAUACCACUACCAGUCGCUCCAACUGGCAAGCUCACCAAUAUUGGAGUGUAAUCCCUGAAUGUUCACUCCAAGGAUUACCAGUUUAGUUUUGCUAAGUCGUGGUUGUGGUUGGUGCAAAGGUCGAUAUUUGGUGGGCUGACUAUUUGGAGGCUUUCUUUCAGUUUUUCUAGCAGGGGAUUGGGAUUUUGAAAUAUGAAGUCAAAUAUACAAAAACUCUUCCUUGAUUGCUUGCUUGUUUUGUAGCUGAAAACACCAUAAAAUUAAAGCUAUCAGUCUACCUAGUUGUUUUUGUAAUUGUGCAUCCGAAGCAAUGACUGGAACAGUUGAUGUCCAAAUAUUUAGACAACUUAGACCUCAGUGUUUCAGUGUCCCAAAUAUUUAAUUUUCCCAAACAACAUUCCUCUCAGGUUUGGGUAAAUGACUGCUUUGUAUUGUGGAGUGUGGAGGAUGAGAGAAGAUGGAGGGCAAAGGAGCACCGAAGGAGUUUGGAAGGCAGAGUGCAGGAGCAGAACCAUAGACAGCUGAGAGUCAGUGGUGCUAAUGUGGGGUCUGAGUGUGUAACCUCACUCUCAGUGCGCUCUGAUUAAAGAAUGAUUUAUAGGCCUGCUGGAGAGCCCUCUCAGCAAUCCGUCUCCUCAAUGAGAUUUUUUUCCAUUUCGAGGGGUUUGGUAAAUCAAGCCAUCUUGGAGAGGAUCUUGGGUGGACAAUGUCAAUGUGUUACUGAGAGGGAGCCAUUAAAUGCUAUAAUGAUGAAAGCAUGGGGGGGUUCACAGGUGCAUACAGACCAUAUUUGUUACACACAGUAUUGGUCCUGACAUCUCUAGUGGUAUAUAUCAGUUUAUGGAGACAUUUAUCAUUUCUACACACUGAUCAUCAGAUUAAUCUUCUUUGGUGUUCAUUUGCAUGUGAAGAUUUGAGAUGUGUUUUGAUAAUGAGUGUUGGAAUAUAAUAUUUCUUUCUUCCUCCUCCAUAUUCAUACUUUAAUGCUGAGUUAAUGCUCAGUGAUUGGUUGGAUCACUUUGGUCCAGGCUUAAUAUCUCAAAUAUAACAGACUUUAAUGUCACAAUCAAGAUUAAUUGUAAUAACUGUGGUGAUCCCCUGAAUGUGAAAAUGGUAAACAUUAUUCUUGCUAAAAAUCUGCUUUUUAGCAUUAUCAAUUAAUAUUUAGCUCGAAGAACCACUGUGUGGGAACACAGAGACUCUUUUCCAGUAGUUUUAUGUAGAUAUGAUUGCCAGUAUCUUGAAAGAAGACAGAAUAAGGAAAAUGGCUGCAUAGAAUCUUAUAAAAUGACACUUGAAACUGUUAUUUGUGUUAGAAUCAGGAGUUAAAUCAUCAUUUGCACUGUAUUGAAAACAAUACUCAACAAUAGACAAAAAUUACUUUCAACAAUGGAAAUUCUAGCAGUGUAACUGAUUCUGGUUUGAUGACUUGAGCUCAGAAGCAGCACACUUAUGAUGGGAACUCACUGCAGAGUGCUCUGACACACCCAUCAAUCAUUAACAAAUCAUCUGCAGACUGGAUCAUAUCUAUCAGAUGGUGUCAUGAUGCCAUUUGUCCACAGUGUGCUGCAUGUCACUGUGGUCUGAAUCACAAGUGCAACAGUUAUUGCACACAGUGAAUAGCUUUUAAUUUCCAUAAUAUCUCCAAAGGGUUCAGUAUGUCGGAAUUUGUAUGGCAAAAAUCAAAUUGUAGGUACUUCACUUAUGAUUAUACUGCAUUCAUGUUUAUAUUCCAUAAUUGUGACCUUUUCAUAAACCAAAGCACACAGCCAUGCUGUGUGAUGUUUCCCAAUUAUCUCUCCCUGUUUACCCAAUUACAUUAAUUAGAAUGCACUGUAUUUACAUAACCCAGAACAAAUAAGCCAUUGAGCUAAACCUAUUAUUAAGCUUCUUUGUAAUUAAUUACUCCACCUACUGUUGCCAUUGUUAUAAUGCAGCUAUACUCAGGAGCAAACUCACACAGACAAGCCUGCUUGUUUACAAAAAAAAGUGUUUGGGUUUCAUGUUAUCAUUAUAGAUGUAAAUUCAUAAUUAAAGCUCAGUAUGGCAAACCACAAAUAAACUGAAAGCAUGGUAUUCGUCAGUGUUGGUAGGCUACAUGUAUUCCUAUAAUUUACUUUAGUAAAAGUACUGAUACAACAAUGUAUACUCCACUGCAAGUAAAAGUCCUGCAUUCAAAUUCUGCUGAAAUGAAAAGUAUCAAAAGUAUUUGAAACAUGCAGCAUUUUACUGUGUAGCUUGUCAAGGUGGAGCUAGUUUAACAAUUUAGUCUACAGUUAGGUAGAUUAGUACAGUGGUUUCCAACCCAGGGCUUGGACCCCUUCAAAGGGUCACAACAUAAAUCUGGGAGGUUGUGAGAUGUUUAGUGUGGCAGAAAAGAAUAAAAAACUAAUUUCUAUUACACAUUUUUUUAGACUUCAUAUAUCUAUAGGGACAAGUAUAUAGCAUGAACUAAUGCCACAUACCACGGCAUUAAUAGCCUGAGCUAGUUUUCUCUAGAUGGGCCUUUAAAAUAUAUUUAAAAAAUGACUGAUCCCUCUUUAAAAAGAGUAUUAAUUUGAGUUUAAAAGGAUUCCAGUCAUGAUCCAUUUUGAGUUCUGUGAGAAGUUCCUUAUGUUGAUCCCCCAAACCGAAAAAAGACAUCUGUCAAAGUAGGCAUUUAUGAAAGGGCACCUCACAAUUCCCAGUAUAUGCACCUUAUGUUACUGAGCCCCCCUCCCCACUUUGUUGUAGAUGCUGCUUGUGACCAAGAAGCAGCACAAUAACAAAUGUGAAAAGAUCAUGGAAUACAUACAACUUUUUGCAGCAUGAAAUGGUAAUUAAUCUCUAAAGAGUCUAAAUGCAUGCAACUUUGGACUGAAUCUUUAGUUCAUUUGUGAAAUAUUGGGUAAAUUGGGCCUCAAACUGUCAUUUAAGCCAUGGAAAGAAAGCCAUCUGAGAAGUGUAGAGGGGAAUAAUUUUUUGGCAGAACUGCGAACAACUAUCUGAAAUAUGACAAGGUGCCAAAAUCUGACACAGCUUUUUUGUAAGAGGUCACAAGCCAAAAAUAUGCUAAUGUACUGUAUUUUAUAAGCUGUUCCUAUAUUAUUUUUUAAAUGUAAAAUAUUAAUGCGAAAAGCACAUAACUAGUAAGUUGUCUUAUAAAUGUUGCAGAGUAAAAAGUCUUAUAAAUCCAUCUCAAAUGUGGAGAAUUAUAAAGAAGCACAAAAAUACUCAAAUAAAGUACAAGCAGCUUAAAAUUGUACUUACUGUGCUUAAGUUAAUGGAAUUAAUUAGUUGCUUCACCACUGGCUCAAUUCUACAGGUAAAAUACAAUAGAUACAUUGAUGAACUGAAGUAUAUGUCCUUCAAGAUUGUUUUAUCUCUUUCUUACUCUAUCACAUCUUUUCUCACUGGUCUUACAAACAUCACAGAAACCUUUACAGCAGUAGCAUUAAUGCAGAGCCGUCUGCCCUUCAAUAAAAAACUCAGACAUUCCAGUGUGACAAAGUCUGUGAUCCAGUCAAUUACGAUGUAAACAAAGCCAGAGCAGGGACAAAGAUGUUUCUGCUGUGUGCUUCACUCUAUAUUUUCAGAUCUGGCCUAACAAUGUAGCCCACGUACCAACCUAACCUGCCUGAAUAACAGUGAUUAAAUUGGGCAGACUACUUGCUCAUCAUUAUGGCACAAGGAGAGGGCAGUCAGAGAAUACUUGAAAGUACUUAACAGUCACAGAACACAAUAUUUUUCUCUGUUGAUUAGCUUAUAUAGAGCAGAAGAGCAUGGGUGAUGAUUAUUCCUGAAGAUGACAAAGGCAACAUGUUGGAGAUGUGCUGCCUCUAUAAAUGUCGGGCUAAGCAUAGUAAUUUGAUGCUUUUAGCACUAUUUCCCCUCUUGCAUAUUCCAGCAGAAUGGCAUUCAGCUGAAAAAUCUAUCCUUCACUAUUAUACAGAAUCAAAUAAUAAAGACACAAAGGCACCUCUCAGAGUACAAACGCACAAAAAAACCAAAACAAGUUACACUACAUCUCCGUUGCAAUAGCUCAUUCUUUUAGUCACAUCACAGUAUUUUGUCUGUCUGAUUUACCAGGUAGACCAUACUGCAUGGAUAUGACAGGGCCGCAAACAUUAUGCCCUGAAUAUGUAAAAGACUUUUCUCUGGUAUGUGUAGCUCCUUGCAACAGAGCUGUCUCCCUGGAAAAAAGUGCCAAUUAUAAUAUUAAAGCUGUCUCUACCAGUGACCUUUUUGCAUUUGCUCUGUAUGCUAUUACACUCAAUCAAGAAAGGUCAGUGUUGGACGUGGGUCUCAUGCAAAACUGUUUUUUUUCAUAUUGUUUUGCCUGUUUGUACAGUUGGAUUUCAGAGCACAAACACGUGGAAUAUUAUCCAUGUGACCUUGCAUCAGAUUUGGUGAUUGAAUACACUGAUAUGGCUUGAAUAAUAACAUGCGCUCUACAUACAUGUAGAAGUUAAGUGCUAAAACUAAAAAGAAGUCAUGUUUGGUAAAUUGUGGGACAGUUAUGCAAAGACAGCAGACAGUAGUUUACUGAUUUAUCUGUUUCUACAGUAGAUAUUUUUUACAAUAGAGUAGCUAUUUAGUUAAGAGUGCUGUUACUGUGCUUCUGGCUGACAGUGUGACAGAAAAACAGUAACUGUCUGAGCCAGUUAGGACAAUACGUAAAUUUGACAUAAUAUUGAAAAUUAAAAUAGAACUAAUUCUAUCACACUAAAUACAGAAUCUCAUGCAAUUUUGAUAAAUGCUCAAACUUAUACUCAUUAUAUUACUCAAUCUUUGUGCUGGUGUCACUGUUAAAUCAGUAAACCUAUUUUUACAGCAAUAUAUAACUUAUUUUCCAGACCUUCCAUUCACACUGCCAUGAUUAUGGUUUUUCUAUAAACAUACCUACAGCACACUGUGACUGAGCAUGCUCCAAAGGAUUGUACUUGCUUUGCAUAGUCAUAUCAGUGUUUGAGAAGGGAGCCCCUUGGUGGGCAAACUCUGAAUUUCUCUUCUUGUCGAAUAUAAACACAACUAUAAAUAUGCAAUUCUUCUCAUCCUUUUCUAUCUUUGUAAUGACUGAAAUGAAAACAUUAAUGACAAAAGGUAUAAAAUGUAUCGAUGGUAUGGUAUUCCAGGAACAAAUAUCACUUUAUUCAGGCGUUGCUUCACAACACAACCAAUCAUGUAUUGUAGUUGUCACUCAAUACAGUAUCUGUGAUUAUUAUUACCCUCUCUUUUGUGGUUUAUCCUUUCUUUUGUGUAAUAUAACCGAUCAACUUUCAAAUGCUGUGUGCCCACGAGCAGAAACUGGCCCAAUCAAACAUCCUCGGGGCACUGCAGGGAUUAUUUCCAGUUGGAACAAAACUACCUGGCCAAUUUUUCCAAAUCUUAGAACUGUGGUAGAAGGGCAGCCAUAAUGGUCGCCAAACAAAUAUAGGAUUGAUUGGCCAUUUGAAAUGCUCAAAGUGGCUAAAAAUAGAACAAGCCAAUCUCAUGUGCCAAUUCAGGUGCAAAAUGUGUGCAUCUCAUUAUCGAGAAGACUUGUUAACAGGAUUUGGUCAUAGGACAUUGUUAUUAUUUUUUUCUUUUCUUGUUGCAAGGAGUUCUCAAAUUCACACUAUUCAUUCUAUAUUUACUCAUUGUCUCUCCUCUCGACCUCACCAUAAAAUAGUUCAGGAUAUCAGGACUUUACUUAGCACAAGAACACACCAGAAAAAAAGGUUGACAUUUUCAAAUGAACCCUAAAUUUUCACUCUCCACUGCGUAAUGUGAGCAUCACUGUCAGGCAGCAAUACAAUAUAAAUAUUGGUUAAUAUGACAAUUUAUGUAUGUGGCAUUGAUACUGACAUUACAAUUACUAUGAAGUUUAAUCAAUUUUGUAAACAUGGUAAAAACAUGGUAAUUGUUUGUAUGAACACUUUAUAUGUUAAUGCACAGAACAACAAUAAACAUAUUAACCUCAUAUAUCUUCCAGCAUGUAUGUGACAUUGGCAUCAACAGCAGUUACCAUAAUUAUGUUUAUACUUGGUAAAUAAAGGUUGAAACGCAAAACAACAAAUCACAAUGCUCAGUCAUACUGUAAAAUUAUAUUAACUGAGCAGUAGGACGUGCCACUCAUGCCAAAGUACGUCCCUCAGUGUGGUUUUUAAUUCAAGUUUUGUCAGAUCAGCUACACAUAUAUUGGCACAAUUACUGGGUAAAAAAUAAGUUUCAUGGUUGGCACGAUACUGUAGCUCAUUGUUUAAUAUAAUUUCCUCCCACUAAGAGAGUCUGAGUUUGAUUCCUAGCCCAGGCAUUGUGCUUACUUUGCAUUCACAUCAAUGUUAUCACAAAGAUCGCUGCCUGCACUGUAAGCACAACCGCAUGAAUAUUUCACCACUAUUGAAAAACUUUCAUCUGUGAACAUUUGGACUCGACCCCUCCGUUUGUGGCUUGCAGCUAUGUUAUAUUUUUCUCUUUUGAGCAUACAUUUUGUUAGUGAGAACAGCUCUCUCUUAACAGAACAUUCACUUACUGUGUGGAUAGAGGCUGUUAGAUUUUGAUUCAUCAUUUCCUGUGGGUGGAGGAAUGUCCACUGCCAAACACAAAAUUUCAUUAGAAUAAAAAGGAUGAAUCUGUUGGUCUCAGAGGGAAAGAGACAUUAAUCUGUUUUAUAGUCUAUUCUAAGUAAGGCUCAUGUCAAAUAGAGGGUACAGUGAAUUAAAACACCAAUUAAUAUAUUUAUACUAAAGUCGCUGGAUGUAUGUGUUGUGUUGUUAUAAAACAGACCAAGUAGCCCACAGACUGUUAGAAUAAACAAAACUAGAUAGUGAUUAAAUCAGAGAGGUGUGGAUUAUCCGACUAGGUGAGAAACUUAAAUGUUUGAUCAUUUCUUUGUGGACUAAACUUUCAGCUGAGAGAUGAAAGAUGUGGCAAACUUUAUGUCAUCUCUGUGUUUGCCUCACAGGCAGAAUAAAAAGAAAGAAAGAAAAUGAAUAUCUUUUGUAAAUUUGGAGGAUUUUGGAGGUUUCACAGGAACAAUACCUUUCUUUUAAAUUUCAAAAAUGAAAAUAAACAUUUUCCCUUGAGAAGUUACAACUUAGUUGUCAACUAACACUUUAUCUUUGUAGUUUUUGUAGAAUUGAUGAACAACUCUUUGUUUUCCUAGCUAAUACAGAGAUAUUUUUGUUGUUGUAAUAUAUCAAAUAUGUGGUCAUAUAGAAAUUGUCUCAUUGCUUUUCAAUAGCUAUUCUAAAGAUAAAACAUGAUUAUCAAAUUGUUUGUGCAUUGCCACAUAUCUAUCUAUCUAUCUAAACUUUUUUUGUUUAUUCUUUUUUUAGUCUUUUUCUUAAAUUAUAAGUUAUGCAAACUAUCAAAAAACCCCUCAACAUUUUGCAUCCAAAUCCCUUGAACAUAUUCGAGUGGUAAUGUUUGACCACAUUCAAAACAUACAAAUAUACACAUAAAAAGAGUUCCUUAUGUCAUGUGUGAUUUAGUUGUAUAUGGCUGUCAUGUGUUUUAUAUGUUUGUGUACAGAUUUAUUUGAGAAUUAAGUGAGAUUUUUAAGUUCUUUCACACUCACACAGCUUACAAUGGGCCAUGCACAGCUACACUCAUGAAUACCAUUAAACGAAAUCAUCAUCGUUGAUUAGCUGAACUACACACAUAUGUGCCCUUUGAGGCACUUUGUAAUACAGAGUCAUUAUCAAUGUUUCUACAAUCUAUUACUGGAGCUGUUUCUUCAAAUAUAGCCAUGAAUCCCAUCAAAUUGUUAAUUACUUUCAGGCUGCCAGGCUGUGUUAAUUAGUUACCUUUUUAAAUAUUCAAUAUACACUUUCAAAUUCUGGCAAGAAUGUGAUUAUCAUAGAAACAUUUUAAAAACGUUUUCCUCAACGUGUAAUUCACACUGUGCCCUGUUUUAAUUAUUAUCAAACAAAAUUUCACAUAUUAAUGGAAAGAGGCUCACUAUACUGAGUGAGGUCUAUUGUUAGAAAUGUGGUUGAAAAUGAUGGGCUGGAAGUAGGAGCUCAAUUGUCCUUGUGUUGAUUUCAUUGACCUCUGCAGGGGUUCAUUCACGUCUAAUCAAUUCACCGAUCAGAGCAAGCUGAGCUCGAAAUAACCCCUGCAACCACAUCCCAGGCCCUCACAUUCAGUCAUACAGAUGCCAAUAUAAAUAAAUGCUCACAGAGACCUCUCCACACAUCAGUCUUUUAGACUGCUGCUUACUUUGCUACACCAUCACUUUGUGAGGUCUUUGCACAGCAGACCAGAAGUACCUCAUGCAACAGUUAUAUAAUGCAAAGUACAGUGCAUUAACACAUAGCCCAUGAGAGGUGGAACAUGUUAAACAUGACUACAUGGUUAGAGGGUAUAUGCUCACACCACAGCACUGCUAAAAUUCCUGAUGCAUGCACUGUACACUAAAAACCAACGGAGGAAAACUGAGAUUAACGUACUGCCAUCACUAUCUGUGAGAUUGAAACAGCUAGCCGUCUGACCUUGAGCAACAUACAUUUCUGCACAUAUAGCGUCAUUGCAUCACUUCAGUGGGAAGCCACUUUGAGGGCAAACACUCACCCAUUUUUGUGUGUCAUUGCGUAAUAGUGAUAGUAAAGCUGUGACAAUUAUGUGAUAAUAAUAGCGCAGUUUUCUCUUCUCAUUUGCCCCCUUCUGUGCAGAGAAGAGCAAAUCAAAUACAGAGCAGCUGGUUGAGUUCAGGGUCUUGCUCAAUGGCACUUAAGUAGGGUAGAUGCUUGCUGAUUCUGGAGUUGGAGGACAGAAAAUGUCAUGUUACACAGUUCACUGACACUCCGCUCCCUAAAGGCCUUAGAACUUAAUGAUAAAUUAUAGUAGAUCAGACAUCAACCAUGCUUUAAGCCAUUAGACAUUUGAAAAUAUGGGCUGCAAAGUGGCUUAAUGGAGUGUUUGAUGGCUUUUAAUGAGCUACUAUACAACACGAUUAGUUCUUGCAAACAGAUUUGAUAAUAAAUGCUGGAAACAGACUGUAUAGAUAUGUAUGUGUGUGUGUGUGUGUGUGUGUGUGCACAUAUAAGAUCAGAAUUUACUGUCACCUGUGUGCAGUCAGGACUUUUUCCUCUGCUGUGGAUGUUGAUGUAGUGCCACCCAUAGACAGGUCAAUAUAUUACAUCUUCCUCUUCAGUCUGUGUGAGUAGGAGAUGGUAAUCACAGAGAUACCAGACUGACAAAGUAGCAGCUCUGUGUUUGCAAUCUGUUUGUGCAGUGGAUGCAACACAAGCGACUGCAAUCACCAGGAGGUGUACAACAGAAAUAUACUGGAACAUUUCACAUUUUCACAUGACACAGUGGUACUGGUGUAUGUCUGUUCAAUAAAGGUAUAUUUUGGCCUGGAGAAUGUAUUUGCAUAAUAUAUAAACACAUGUUUUACUACACUGUUGCAAAAUAAUGCUGCAAUAUGUUUGCAAUUACAUGAUUUGUUAUAUGGUCAAAAUGCUAAUACUUUACAUUUAGAUUAAAUGUCAAAUACAACAUUGUUAAAAAACUGAGUCAAUAAAUAUGUUUUGGUGUGAGUUUCA